RNAcentral lists this long non-coding RNA (865 nucleotides) under Rattus norvegicus (Norway rat). Its description in RNAcentral is "long non-coding RNA NONRATT017661". The record is from RNAcentral. Lineage: Eukaryota; Metazoa; Chordata; Mammalia; Rodentia; Muridae.
CGGAAGAUUUCGAAGGCCACCCACCCAGAGAAGCAUCUCCCAGCUAAGUAAGGCAUCCAGGGCUAACCGAUGACUGGAGACUGGCCCUAGCGAGGCCCAGACCCCGACAUCCCACCUGCCUACCUACCUGUUCCUCAAGGGAGGCCAGCCUCUGCUCUGUGGAGCCUGAUCUCUUCACACGGUCCAUGUCCAACAGAUCCACCAUGGUGUCCACUCUGAAAGAGGACAAAUGGACAAGCUUCUGGGAGCCUGCCAGCUAUAGAAAAAAACACGACACCCUGAUUCCAGACGACCUCGCCAAACCCAGCAGCCUGGGCGUGGCUCUCAAUACAGUCUCUUGUCAUUUGAAAGUACCUAUGACACACAUCUGCAUCACGAAAUAAAACCAUAAAACCGUCCCAGCACUCGGACAACCCAGGCUCAUGUGGCCUGGCUCAAUGUGACGUCAGAGGUGUCAGCUAGGGGGAGGGGGAUGGGCAUUCACAGCAGCCCACUUGUCUGGGUUUGUCUCAUGGUGCUGGCCCAUGAGCUGUGAAAGCUACCUCAGAUGACAAGGCUUGUGGGGACAGCUGGGCUGGAGCGGGCGAUGCACGGGCUGCUGGGGAAAUGUCUAGUUUGAACCAGAAGCCCCACUCCCCUCCAUGGCCAGCUGUGUUUAUAGUUAAACCAAGGGCAGGCCAAUGCCUGCCUGCAUGCACGCCUGCCUACCUGCCUGCAUCUAUCUCUGCCUGCCGGCACCCAUGCCUGCAUGCACGUGUGUAUGCUCGCCUGCCUACCUAGUUUUGCCCAGGGAUUCCUUCACUUCCUCCCACCUGCAGUGCCAACUGCUAGCAAUAUCCCUUUGUAAUAAAGUAAGCCUCUCAGU